Cynocephalus volans (Philippine flying lemur) is the source of this 104-nucleotide small nuclear RNA. NCBI's taxonomy places the organism in Eukaryota, Metazoa, Chordata, Mammalia, Dermoptera, Cynocephalidae. The record is from RefSeq and is a predicted model, not a curated record.
GUCUUAUCAGCAGCACAUAUGCUAACAUUGGAAUGAAACAGAGGAGAUUAGCAUAAUCCCUGCACAAAGAUGACAGUCAAAUUUGUGGUGUUCCAUUUUUUUUU